This 241-nucleotide long non-coding RNA is filed under the name Helianthus annuus (common sunflower). RNAcentral's name for it is "sRNA HanXRQr2_Chr08g0318271". The stretch from base 1 to 104 matches the Rfam family "Small nucleolar RNA Z103". The record is from RNAcentral. Lineage: Eukaryota; Viridiplantae; Streptophyta; Magnoliopsida; Asterales; Asteraceae.
AUUGAGAUGAUGAUUAUUUCCCCAGAUGAUCGAAGUUGAUUAUACUGAGCGCAUUUAUUAUAGUUCUCUUUAAUAGGGAACUCCAAGCCAGAAAUCUGAUCCGAUUUUUUGUAUAAUUGUUUUAUGAUUUUUUUAUUGUUUUUCUGUGAAUGUGAAUGUCUCUGAUGAUGAUCCAAAUAAAACUUUCGUUCUUCUGAAUAUCUUUGUGGAAACGAUUAUUGGAGACCUGAACUGAAGAGGC